AGUGAACGCUGGCGGUAGGCCUAACACAUGCAAGUCGAACGGCAGCACAGUAAGAGCUUGCUCUUACGGGUGGCGAGUGGCGGACGGGUGAGGAAUACAUCGGAAUCUACUUUUUCGUGGGGGAUAACGUAGGGAAACUUACGCUAAUGCCGCAUACGACCUAUGGGUGAAAGCAGGGGAUCUUCGGACCUUGCGCGAUUGAAUGAGCCGAUGUCGGAUUAGCUAGUUGGCGGGGUAAAGGCCCACCAAGGCGACGAUCCGUAGCUGGUCUGAGAGGAUGAUCAGCCACACUGGAACUGAGACACGGUCCAGACUCCUACGGGAGGCAGCAGUGGGGAAUAUUGGACAAUGGGCGCAAGCCUGAUCCAGCCAUACCGCGUGGGUGAAGAAGGCCUUCGGGUUGUAAAGCCCUUUUGUUGGGAAAGAAAAGCAGCAGGUUAAUACCCCGCUGUUCUGACGGUACCCAAAGAAUAAGCACCGGCUAACUUCGUG
This 492-nucleotide ribosomal RNA is filed under the name uncultured bacterium. RNAcentral's name for it is "partial 16S ribosomal RNA". It matches the Rfam family "Bacterial small subunit ribosomal RNA", at positions 29 to 507 of the family's 1533-position model. The record is from RNAcentral.